GUAGGUGCAAGCGUUGUCCGGAAUUAUUGGGCGUAAAGCGCGCGCAGGCGGUUCUUUAAGUCUGAUGUGAAAGCCCACGGCUCAACCGUGGAGGGUCAUUGGAAACUGGAGAACUUGAGUACAGAAGAGGAAAGCGGAAUUCCACGUGUAGCGGUGAAAUGCGUAGAGAUGUGGAGGAACACCAGUGGCGGAGGCGGCUUUCUGGUCUGUAACUGACGCUGAGGCGCGAAAGCGUGGGGAGCAAACAGGGAUUAGAUACCCUGGUAGUCCACGCCGUAAACGAUGAGUGCUAAGUGUUAGGGGGGUUUCCGCCCCCUUAGUGCUGCAGCUAACGCAUUAAGCACUCCGCCUGGGGAGUACGGCCGCAAGGCUG
Molecule: ribosomal RNA, 373 nt
Filed under: uncultured organism
Description: partial 16S ribosomal RNA
Rfam family: Bacterial small subunit ribosomal RNA
Source: RNAcentral